Molecule: ribosomal RNA, 557 nt
Filed under: uncultured bacterium
Lineage: Bacteria
Description: bacterial SSU rRNA
Rfam family: Bacterial small subunit ribosomal RNA
Source: RNAcentral
ACGGGUGAGUAACGCGUGGGAAUCUACCCAUCUCUACGGAACAACUCCGGGAAACUGGAGCUAAUACCGUAUACGUCCUUCGGGAGAAAGAUUUAUCGGAGAUGGAUGAGCCCGCGUUGGAUUAGCUAGUUGGUGGGGUAAUGGCCUACCAAGGCGACGAUCCAUAGCUGGUCUGAGAGGAUGAUCAGCCACACUGGGACUGAGACACGGCCCAGACUCCUACGGGAGGCAGCAGUGGGGAAUAUUGGACAAUGGGCGCAAGCCUGAUCCAGCCAUGCCGCGUGAGUGAUGAAGGCCCUAGGGUUGUAAAGCUCUUUCAACGGUGAAGAUAAUGACGGUAACCGUAGAAGAAGCCCCGGCUAACUUCGUGCCAGCAGCCGCGGUAAUACGAAGGGGGCUAGCGCUGUUCGGAAUUACUGGGCGUAAAGCACACGUAGGCGGAUACUUAAGUCAGGGGUGAAAUCCCGGGGCUCAACCCCGGAACUGCCUUUGAUACUGGGUAUCUCGAGUCCGGAAGAGGUGAGUGGAAUUCCGAGUGUAGAGGUGAAAUUCGUAGA